RNAcentral lists this RNase P RNA (442 nucleotides) under Pleurocapsa sp. CRU_1_2. Its description in RNAcentral is "RNase P RNA component class A". It matches the Rfam family "Bacterial RNase P class A". From Rfam's summary of the family: Ribonuclease P (RNase P) is a ubiquitous endoribonuclease, found in archaea, bacteria and eukarya as well as chloroplasts and mitochondria. Its best characterised activity is the generation of mature 5'-ends of tRNAs by cleaving the 5'-leader elements of precursor-tRNAs. Cellular RNase Ps are ribonucleoproteins. RNAcentral also lists the same sequence under 1 other name. Lineage: Bacteria; Bacillati; Cyanobacteriota; Cyanophyceae; Pleurocapsales; Pleurocapsaceae. The record is from RNAcentral.
AGAGUUGGCGAGGUGGUUGCAGAUUUGUCCUAGAGGCAAAUUUGAGGAAAGUCCGGACUCCCGAAAGACCAUACUUGCUGGAUAAUUCCCAGUGCGAGCGAUCGCGAGGAUAGUGCCACAGAAAAAUACCGCCUUUUCAUUAAACAUUGAACAUUAAACAUUAAACAGCAACCACUGAGAAAUGCUAAAUGAUAAAUGCUCAAUGAAAUUGGUAAGGGUGCAAAGGUGCGGUAAGAGCGCACCAGCAGUAUCGAGAGGUACUGGCUCGGUAAACCCCAGUAGGGAGCAAGGUCGAAGGGAUUAGGGUUGGUCUUUUUCCCAUCCCGACCAAGGAGAACCGCAUGAGGUGUUUGGUAACAAGCAUCCUAGAUAGAUAACUACCCUCAGAUUAUAAAUCACGAUAAUCUGAGAACAGAAUCCGGCUUACGUUUCAACUCUCUUG